GACGAACGCUGGCGGCGUGCUUAACACAUGCAAGUCGAACGGAAAGGCCCUGCUUUUGUGGGGUGCUCGAGUGGCGAACGGGUGAGUAACACGCGAGUAACCUGCCCUUGACUUUGGGAUAACUUUAGGAAACUGGGGCUAAUACCGGAUAGGAGCUCCUGCUGCAUGGGGGGGGUUGGAAAGUUUCGGCGGUUGGGGAUGGACUCGCGGCUUAUCAGCUUGUUGGUGGGGUAGUGGCUUACCAAGGCUUUGCCGGAUAGCCGGCCUGGGAGGGUGACCGGCCACAUUAGGACUGAGGUACGGCCCAGACUCCUACCGGAGGCAGCGGUGGGGAAUAUUGCACAAUGGGCGGAAGCCUGAUGCAGCAACGCCGGGUGCGGGAUGACGGGCUUCGGGUUGUAAACCGCUUUCGCCUGUGACGAAGCGUGAGUGACGGUAAUGUGUAAAGAAGCACCGGCUAACUACGUG
RNAcentral lists this ribosomal RNA (468 nucleotides) under uncultured bacterium. RNAcentral's name for it is "partial 16S ribosomal RNA". It matches the Rfam family "Bacterial small subunit ribosomal RNA", at positions 28 to 507 of the family's 1533-position model. The record is from RNAcentral.